RNAcentral lists this ribosomal RNA (434 nucleotides) under uncultured organism. RNAcentral's name for it is "bacterial SSU rRNA". It matches the Rfam family "Bacterial small subunit ribosomal RNA", at positions 346 to 794 of the family's 1533-position model. The record is from RNAcentral.
GUGCAGCAGUCGAGAAUUUUUCACAAUGGGGGAAACCCUGAUGGAGCGACGCCGCGUGGAGGAUGAAGGCGUUUUCGUCGUAAACUCCUGUCAAACGGGAACAAGAAAGUGAUAGUACCGUUAGAGGAAGAGGCGGCUAACUCUGUGCCAGCAGCCGCGGUAAUACAGAGGCCUCAAGCGUUGUUCGGAUUCAUUGGGCGUAAAGGGUGCGUAGGUGGCUUGGUAAGUUGAAGGUGAAAUCUCGGGGCUUAACUCCGAAACUGCCUUCAAUACUGCCGAGCUCGAGGAUUGUAGAGGAGAAUGGAAUUCACGGUGUAGCAGUGAAAUGCGUAGAUAUCGUGAGGAAGACCAGUGGCGAAGGCGAUUCUCUGGGCAAUUCCUGACACUGAGGCACGAAGGCUAGGGGAGCAAACGGGAUUAGAUACCCGCGUAGU